AACGAACGCUGGCGGCAUGCCUAACACAUGCAAGUCGAACGAGGCCUUCGGGUCUAGUGGCGCACGGGUGCGUAACGCGUGGGAACCUGCCCUUAGGUUCGGAAUAACUCCCCGAAAGGGGUGCUAAUACCGGAUAAUGUCUUCGGACCAAAGAUUUAUCGCCUUUGGAUGGGCCCGCGUUGGAUUAGCUAGUUGGUAGGGUAAAAGCCUACCAAGGCGACGAUCCAUAGCUGGUCUGAGAGGAUGAUCAGCCACACUGGGACUGAGACACGGCCCAGACUCCUACGGGAGGCAGCAGUGGGGAAUAUUGGACAAUGGGCGAAAGCCUGAUCCAGCAAUGCCGCGUGAGUGAUGAAGGCCUUAGGGUUGUAAAGCUCUUUUACCCGGGAUGAUAAUGACAGUACCGGGAGAAUAAGCCCCGGCUAACUCCGUG
This 433-nucleotide ribosomal RNA is filed under the name uncultured bacterium. RNAcentral's name for it is "partial 16S ribosomal RNA". It matches the Rfam family "Bacterial small subunit ribosomal RNA", at positions 29 to 507 of the family's 1533-position model. The record is from RNAcentral.